CUGCAUUCCUUUGGACAGCUUUGCUCAUUCCACUGCAAGGCAAAGCUCCACAGAUUUGUAGGAAAAUAUCCAACGGUUUGUUUUGCAGAGCGAGGCUGUGCAGUAGUUUGUUGUAAUUGGCAUGUGAGGCUGGGACAGAAAGGCAGCCAACUUCUGCCAAUUUAUCCUGCUCCGGCAGCAUCUCCCGUGAGCUGAUUGCUAGCAACGUGCAGUGCUGCUCUCAUCAGCUACCUUUGAACUGCUCUGGAUGGAAGCAAGAAAGCAAUCACUGCGUGCUGCGGGCAGGGCGAGGCAGGAGAUAACACAGAGGAAUUCAGCUUGCUUCAUUAAAAGUGAAGGGAAGGAGCCUGGCAGAGGCACAGCCUGCACUCAGAAGUAAUGAACUCACUGUGACGGAGGACAGCUUGUUCUCUGCCCCUUAUUUAUUUACUCGCUCGUUUGCACGAUAACAGAUGGAUAUCAGCGUGUGCUGUGCAGAAGGUACAGCACUGCUAAACCGUCUGCAACCAGCUGCAAUGAAGAACUUCUCUCCUGAUAAGAGGUGAAGAGUAUGGCUUCAUUAGAUGAGCCAAGGAGGAAUGGGAAGAGGACAUGAUGCCUUGGAGAAACACAACAGGGCUAAACCCCGCGGAGGAAAAGGCAAUAUUUAACAUAGGACAGUGCUGCUAUGAGGACAGGCUGUGAGGACUCGUCAUAAGUUGAGACUGGAGAGCAGAAUAAAGUUUCUGAAUUCAGGAGAGAAAAAAGUAGA
This 751-nucleotide long non-coding RNA is filed under the name Coturnix japonica (Japanese quail). RNAcentral describes it as "lncRNA (ENSCJPG00005012294.1)". The record is from RNAcentral. Lineage: Eukaryota; Metazoa; Chordata; Aves; Galliformes; Phasianidae.